RNAcentral lists this ribosomal RNA (643 nucleotides) under Bacillus stratosphericus. Its description in RNAcentral is "partial 23S ribosomal RNA". It matches the Rfam family "Bacterial large subunit ribosomal RNA", at positions 492 to 1140 of the family's 2925-position model. Lineage: Bacteria; Bacillati; Bacillota; Bacilli; Caryophanales; Bacillaceae. The record is from RNAcentral.
GAACCAGUACCGUGAGGGAAAGGCGAAAAGAACCCCGGGAGGGGAGUGAAACAGAACCUGAAACCUGAUGCAUACAAACAGUGGGAGCCCUUUUGGGGUGACUGCGUACCUUUUGUAUAAUGGGUCAACGACUUACAUUCAGUAGCGAGCUUAACCGGAUAGGGGAGGCGCAGGGAAACCGAGUCUUAACAGGGCGCAGAGUUGCUGGGUGUAGACCCGAAACCGAGUGAUCUAUCCAUGGCCAGGAUGAAGGUGCCGUAACAGGUACUGGAGGUCCGAACCCACGCAUGUUGCAAAAUGCGGGGAUGAGCUGUGGAUAGGGGUGAAAGGCUAAACAAACUCGGAGAUAGCUGGUUCUCCCCGAAAACUAUUUAGGUAGUGCCUCAUGUAUCACUUCCGGGGGUAAAGCACUGUUAUGGCUAGGGGGUCAUUGCGACUUACCAACCCAUGGCAAACUAAGAAUACCGGAAAGUGCAAUCAUGGGAGACAGACAGCGGGUGCUAACGUCCGUUGUCGAGAGGGAAACAACCCAGACCGCCAGCUAAGGUCCCCAAUGACAGAUUAAGUGGUAAACGAAGUGGGAAGGCCCAGACAGCCAGGAUGUUGGCUUAGAAGCAGCCAUCAUUUAAAGAAAGCGUAAUAG